RNAcentral lists this transfer RNA (72 nucleotides) under Aedes aegypti (yellow fever mosquito). It matches the Rfam family "tRNA". From Rfam's summary of the family: Transfer RNA (tRNA) molecules are approximately 80 nucleotides in length. Lineage: Eukaryota; Metazoa; Arthropoda; Insecta; Diptera; Culicidae. The record is from Rfam by way of RNAcentral.
AGCUCAGUAGCUUACUUGUUAAAGCACUCGUCUAGCACAUAAGAGUCAUGCGUUCGAGUCCCAUCUGAGCGA